This 987-nucleotide long non-coding RNA is filed under the name Homo sapiens (human). RNAcentral's name for it is "HSALNT0072934". Lineage: Eukaryota; Metazoa; Chordata; Mammalia; Primates; Hominidae. The record is from RNAcentral.
CUUUGAUUCAGAUACAUUGCUCACUUUCCUUUUGUUAUUCUAUUUCAUAACGUAGAGUCUUAGCCUCCGGCUCCCACAUCCUCAUGUAUAGAUUCAAUUUGGAUUUAAACAAUGGGUAGUAUUGGAGAAGACUUAAAAAGCAAGAUACAAAGAAGGGAAAAAUCAGCAUAUUUGUCUCUCACUUUCUGCCCUUAGCGGUGUCUGGCUCAAACAGUGGAUACACGUGUCUUCCAUGGUUCCAUAUACCAUCAGGAUAUUUUUGCUAUGACUCCAGCUGGCUCAUAAGCAGUGAGCCUGGCUAGAAGAAAAAAGAAAGCAGCUCCUUUGUUUCCCUGGUUGCAGAAGAAUCCCUGAGGAGGAACCAGAUGGAUCCUGUUACAGGAAAGCAGUUCAGGCUGUCCAAGAAAACUUCUAAUGGGAACACUUUCAAACUUAUUUUAUAAGGCCAGCAUUACUGUGAUAUUAAAACCAGACAAGGACACUACAGGAAAAGAACAUUACAGGCCAAUAUGCCUGAUUAACACAGAAGCAAAAAUUCUUAAUAAAAUACUAGCAAACAAAAUUCAUCCAAACAUUAAAAGGAUGAUUCACCAUAAUCAAGUGGGAUUUAUCCCUGCAAUGCAAGGAUGGUUCCAUAUACGCAAAUCUAUAAAUGUUAUGUUCCACAUUAACUGAAUGGACAAAAACCACAUGAUCAUUUCAAUACAUGCAAAAAAAGGCAUUUGACUAAAUUUUAUAUUCUUUCAUGAAAACUGCUAUCAAUAAAUUAGAUGUAAAAGUAAUGUACCUUAACACAAUAAAGGUUGUAUGUGACAAGACCAUAGCUAACAUCACACUUGACAGUGAGAAAUUGAAAACCUUUUCUCUAAGAUUGGGAAUAAGACAAUUCCUAGGUAUUUCAAAAUUUUUGUGACUAUUAUAAAUGGAUUGUGUUCUUGAUUUGAAUCUCAGCUUGAAUGUUAUUGAUGUAUAGAAAUGCUAUUGAUU